CUUUGCUCCUCCUUCACAGUAAAAUCUCAGCUACCACGAAACAUAUCUCUGCACCUUGGAGAAGACUCGAGCGAGCUAUAUAUAUGCGGUUGUAAUUUGGGAGAGAGGAUGGGUGCGUAGGUUAAGCGGGGAUACGUCGUGUCAAGCGCAGGAUAGCUUCAAACUUCUACUCUUUUCCUUUUCUGUGAUGCUUGGUGUACUGUGCGUUCGUCCCAAGCCUUGGAUCCUUAAUUCCCUGUCCUCCUCCUUCGUCCACGGUUCAGCGGCUCACCAUCAUAUCACCGGGCUACGCCAGAGCCCCGGCUUCAAUGGCGACCUGAAGCCUCGGCGCCACCACUCCAGUGCUUGUCGGCUCGAUGGCUCCUUCGGUGGCGGUGCGGCCUCCAUAUGGCACGCGAUCAUGCCGUGCGGAGCCGCCAGGCAUCCGAGCGAUCUCCUGCUCCGUCGUAAGGCGAUGCUCCGGCGUGAGCGGAGGGGGGAGGGGUCGUGGAACGUCGCCUGGGACGCACGCCCCGCCCGCUGGCUUCACCGGCCUGACUCGGCUUGGCUACUUUUCGGCGUCUGCGCCUGCCUUGCGCCGCUGGAUUUUGCGGUCGAUGACAGUCCCGAGGCUAUCGUUGUGGAUACGAAAAUCGAAGCUUGCGAUUCCAUUGACUCGAACGAUAACAAAAACGAUGAAAUCGACGGUUUGGAUGUAAAUUAUUCGAACACCAGCAAGAAUAAUGAGGGCUCUGCUGAUUACAGGGUCACAGGGGUGCUGGCGGAUGGUCGAUGUCUAUUUAGAGCAUUAGCACAUGGGGCUUGCUCGAGGAGUGGGGAAGAAGCUCCCGAUGAGAAUCGUCAGAGAGAACUUGCUGAUGAAUUAAGAGCUCAAGUUGUAGAUGAACUUUUAAAGAGGCGGAAGGAAACAGAAUGGUUCAUUGAAGGAGAUUUUGAUGCGUAUGUGGAGAGAAUUCAACAACCUUAUGUAUGGGGUGGAGAACCUGAAUUGCUGAUGGCUUCUCAUGUUUUGAAGACACCAAUAUCAGUCUUCAUGAAAAGUAGAAGCUCGGGUCGUUUGGUAAACAUAGCAAAGUAUGGUGAAGAGUAUCGAAAGGAGGAAGAGAACCCCAUCAAUGUGCUGUUUCAUGGGUAUGGUCACUACGAUCUAUUGGAGUCCUUCUCAGAAUAAAGAGCUAAACAUCAAGAAGUUGAGUAUGUUUUUUAGAAGUUUUUCGAAUAAAGCGAAAGCAUCUUAGAAAGAGCUUACUUUUCCCAGGAGGAAGUCUUUCAGACGGUCAAAAUACCGCAUCAAAGUUAUAUAAUGCCCUGCAAUAAGCUAACUAUUGCUUUAGGGCUUGUUCAAUUUUGUAGUGGGCAGGCGAAUUGUUGACGAUGAAGCUGCUUGGCCAAGUCUGCUUUAUACACGUGUCUUGAAGGAAAUCACACAUCUUUCUUUCUUUCAAUGGCGUGCAGUACUUUCAACCCCAUAUUAUUCUUUGAAAUUGAAAUCAGCGUUGGAAAGUCACAAUGCCUUUCGUAAUCAUCACUUUUGAAUUCUUUGGACCCUUUAGCCACCCAGAAGUUUCUUAUGUUGUGGUGCUGAUUUUGAGUUCGUACUUUCUACUUUUGCCCCAUACGUGUAUAUAUUAUUUGUCAUGUAUAUAGUGCUAGUUCCGGAUUGAAUUUUCUAAGCUCAUGUUGAAGAAAAGAAAAAGGUUCAAGUCUA
This is an RNA transcript of Carya illinoinensis, 1708 nucleotides long. RefSeq lists it as uncharacterized. The record is from RefSeq and is a predicted model, not a curated record. The transcript is spliced from 6 exons. Lineage: Eukaryota; Viridiplantae; Streptophyta; Magnoliopsida; Fagales; Juglandaceae.